RNAcentral lists this transfer RNA (77 nucleotides) under Acutalibacter sp. Its description in RNAcentral is "tRNA-Arg". It matches the Rfam family "tRNA". From Rfam's summary of the family: Transfer RNA (tRNA) molecules are approximately 80 nucleotides in length. Their secondary structure includes four short double-helical elements and three loops (D, anti-codon, and T loops). Further hydrogen bonds mediate the characteristic L-shaped molecular structure. tRNAs have two regions of fundamental functional importance: the anti-codon, which is responsible for specific mRNA codon recognition, and the 3' end, to which the tRNAs corresponding amino acid is attached (by aminoacyl-tRNA synthetases). tRNAs cope with the degeneracy of the genetic code in two manners: having more than one tRNA (with a specific anti-codon) for a particular amino acid; and 'wobble' base-pairing, i.e. permitting non-standard base-pairing at the 3rd anti-codon position. RNAcentral also lists the same sequence under 1 other name. Lineage: Bacteria; Bacillati; Bacillota; Clostridia; Eubacteriales; Acutalibacteraceae. The record is from RNAcentral.
GCGCCAGUAGCUCAGCUGGAUAGAGUGUUUGACUACGAAUCAAAAGGUCGGGGGUUCGAAUCCCUUCUGGCGUGCCA